Molecule: long non-coding RNA, 5227 nt
Filed under: Sus scrofa (pig)
Lineage: Eukaryota; Metazoa; Chordata; Mammalia; Artiodactyla; Suidae
Description: lncRNA (ENSSSCG00000054144.1)
Source: RNAcentral
UAAUUACAAACUCGUUAAAAGAGAUGUACAUACCAUUAAUCAACAUUGGCCACAAAAUCAAACAAUCAAAUUCAUUUUGUUUAUUGAAGACACAACUCCUGGAACUUUCCAUCCUCUUGCUCUGAUCUGUACCAGAGGCUCUCAGCAUUCAUAAAAAUUUCCUCUUGACUAUCAUCUGAGGGUUCUCUUCAGCUCUCUCUCUUACACAUUGGAUUCCCCUCUUUCCUGUACCCCAGAGAUUCCUCUCCUGUACACCAGUAGCUUUGUGGAGAAAGGCACAUAGCAAGUAAGUUUUUUGAGAAUUUGCAUGGCAUAGAAUUCUUUAUUCCUGCUUUGCAUUUAAUUGAUAGUUUGUGUGAAUAAUUCUAGGUUUAAAUAUUAUUUCCUCAGAAUUUUGAACUCAUUUGUCUAUUGUCUUCUACCUUCCAGUGUUGCUGCCCAAAAGUCAGAUACCAUUCUCACUCCUGACCCCUUUUUUUUUUUUUUUUUUUUUGUCUUUUUAGGGCCAUACCUGUGGCAUAUGGAAGUUCUCAUGUUAGAGGUCAAAUCGGAGUUGUAGAUGCCGGCUACAGCCAAGCCACAGCAACAUGGGAUCUGAACCCCAUCUGCAACCUAUGCCGCAGCUCAUGGCUAUGCUGGAUCCUUAACUCACUGAGCAAGGCCAGUUAUCUGACCCACAUCCUCAUGGAGGAUACUGGUUGAGUUCAUUACCACUGAGGCACAACAGGAACUCCUCCUGACCCUUUUUUAUGAUGUUUUUUUCUCUUUGCAAGCACUUAGAAUCUUUUCUUUAUUCCUUGUGUUCUGAAAUUUUAAGAUGAUGUCUUUCCAUGUGAGUCUUUUAUUGAAUUGUUGUUCAUUUUGCUGUACUUUCAGAGGCAAUUUCCCAUCUUUAGACUUCACUUUGGAAGAGUUUUUUUUUCUUGAUGUUUUAUUUGUUCUUCAAAACAUGAAUGUAUUGGUGUAUGCCUUAUAGUCUUUGUCUUUUCUUUUUUUUUACUGAAAUAUAGUUAAUGUAAAUAUUAUAUCAUUUACAGGUGUAUAGUAUAGUGAUUCACAGUUCUUAAUAUUUGCUGUAUUUCCUGUAUUGUACAAAUAAUACAAUAUAGGAAAUGUAGUUGUAGUUUACUAUAUGCAGCAUAGUUUGUACUUCUUAAUCCCCUCCCCCAUAUUGCCCUUCCACCCUUUCCUUACCCUACUGGUCACAACUAGUCUGUUCUCUGUAUCUGUGAGUCUGUUUUUUGUUAAUAUUCACUAGUUUGUUGUAUUUUUUUAAAUUCCACAUAUAAGUAAUAUCAUACAGUAUUUGCCUUUUUAUGUCUGAUUUAUUUCACUUAGCAUAAUACCCUCCAAGUCCAUCCAUGUUGUUGCAAAUAGCAAAAUUUCAUUCUUUUUAUGGCUGAAUAGUAUUCCAUUGUAUAUUUACCAUUUCUUUAUCCAUUCAUCUGUUGAGGAACACUUAAGUCACUUCCAUACCUUGGCAAUUGUAAACAAUGCUGCUAUGAACAUUGGGGUGCAUGUAUCUUACUGAAUUAGUGUUUUCUCUUUUUUGUAUAUACAUAUAUAUCCAGAAAUGGAAUUUCUAGGUCAUAUGGUCAUUCCGUUUUUAGUUUUUUGAGAAACCUCCAUAUUAUUUUCUACAGUGGCUGCACAUUUUACAUUCCUACCAACUGUACAAGAGUUGCCUUUUCUCCAUAUCCUCACCAACAUUUGUUAUUUGGGUUUUUUUAAUUAUAGCCAUUCUGACAGGUGUGAGGUGAUAUAUCAUCAUCAUGAAAUCAUGCUCCCUGACUUCAGACUAUACUACAAGGCCACAAUUAUUAAAACAGUAUGGAAAUUGCCAUAUGAUAUCAUAUAUGGAAUCUAAAGAAUCCAUCUAUGAAACAUAAAGAGAUUCGCAGACAUAGAGAACAAAUUUGUGGUUGCCAAGGGGAAAUGGGGGAAGGAUGGUGUGGAAGGGUGGGGUUAGGAAAUGUAAGCUAUUAUACAUGAAGAAAAUAAUCAAUAAGAUCCUACUCUAUAGCAUAGAGAACUAUAUUCAGUGUCCUAUGAUAAACCAUAGUGGAAAAAAAUAUUUUUAAAAAGAGUGUAUGUAUAUGUAUAACCAAAUCACUUUUUUGUACAGAAGAAAUUAAAACAACACUGUAAAUCAACUAUACUUCAAUUUUAAAAGUUUUAUUAAUUAGGUUUAAAGAAUUUUAGGAGUUCCCAUUGUGGCAUAGCAGGUUAAGAACCUAGCAUAGUGUCCAUGAGGAUGCAGGCUCAAUCUUUGAUCUCACUCACUGUGUUAAGGUUCCAGCAUUGUUGCAAGCUGUGGCAUAGGUUUCAGAGGCAGCUUGGAUCCAGUGUUGCUGUGGCUGUGGCAUAGGCCUGCAGCUGAAGCUCUUAACUGGACCCCUAGCCUAGGAACUUCCAUAUGCUGCAAGUGCAGCCUUAAAAAAAAUUUUUUUAAAGUGUGGUACAGCACAAAAACAGACACAUCAAUCAAUGGAAUGGAAUAGAGUCCCCAGAAAUAAACCCACACAGUUAUGGUCAAUUAAUCUAUAGCAAAAUAGGCAAGAAUAUACAAAUGGAGAAAAGACAGCCUCUAAUAAGUGGUUCUGGGAAAACUGGACAACCACAUGUAAGAGAAUGAAACUAGAACAUUCCCUAACACCAUAUACAAAAAUAAACUCAAAAUGGAUUAAAGACCUAAAGUAAAGUGAGAAACCAUAAAACUCCUAGAAGAAAACAUCAAACAUUCUUUGGCAUAAAUCUUAGCAAUAUUUUUUGGAUUUUGUCCUAAAGCAAAGGGAAUGAAAGCAAAUGUAAACAAAUAAGGUCUAUUUAAACUUAAAAGCUUUUGUACAGUAAAGGGAACUAUAAACAGAAUGAAAAGACACCUACUGAAUGGGAGAAAAUAUUUGCAAAUGAUAUGACUGAUUAGGGGUUAAUAUCCAAAAUAUACAAUCAGCUCAUAAAACUGAACAUCACACACACAAAAAAUCCAAUUUAAAAAAUGGGCAAAAGACCUAAAUAGGCAUUUUUUCCAAAGAGGACAUGGAGAUGAUCAAGAAGCACAUGGAAAGAUACUCAAUAUCACUAAUCAUCAGGAAAAUGGAAAAACUUUCUUGUUCUCUUGCACUUUCUACCCUACCGUUUUCUCUGUUUUUUCCUUUUGAACUUAUAUGCUGGUCUCUUGGAUGGAACCUCUAAUUUUCUUUCAUUCAUCUCUUGUUAUAUAUUUCUUUGUCAUCCUAUUUUCUAGGAGAUUUCUUCACUUUUGUCUUCUUAGCCUUCAACUAAUGUUUUCCUGAUUUUUUUAUUGAAGUAUUAUCGAUUUACAAUGUUGUGUUAAUUUCUGCUAUACAGCAAAGUGAUUCAGUUAUACAUUAUAUACACUUGUAAUAUUCUUUUCCAUUGUGAUUUAUCAUAUCACAUUGAAUAUAGUUCUCUGUGCUAUACUGUAGGAUCUUAUUGGUUAUUUCCUCCAUAUAUUAUAGCUUAUAUCUAAUUUUUUCAAAUAGUCAUAUCACUAUUUUUUUGUAAUUUCCAAGAGUUCUUCCUUCUAUUCUCAUAGUUCUUUUUUAGUAUCCUGUUCUGGUUUUAUGAAUCUUGUCUAUCAAAGAUACCAAAAUUUGUUGUGUUCUUUUUUAAUAUUUGUUGACUCUUAAUUCUUUUUUAUCCUAUGAGCUCCUUAGUGUGUUAGAUGAGUUGUUUCAGUCUCUGUUGGAGGCUUUCCUCAAAUGUCUGGCAAUCUUUGUCUGUCUAUAGACAUUUAAAAAUGAAACAGUGAAAACCCCUUGCUGACCAAUCCACUUUUCUCUAGUGAUCCAGACUUUUCUUUAUAAAGCCCCCCAGAUAUCAGUAUCCAUAGAUCUUUUGUCAGGAGCUGGUCUCUGAUCAUUUCUCUGGAAUAAGUACACCUGGCAGCCAGCAUUACUGGAGCUUAGUAGCAAAGGAAGCUGAGAGGGGCUUCUCACUUGUCACUGUAAAAACUUUAUUCAGUUUUUCUCUUUUCAGUAUCUCAUCCCCGCCUUCCACUGUGCUUGGUAUGGCAAAGUCCACACCCUCUUUGGUUCAAAUUCUGUAUGGAUAAAUAAUAUAAUACCCUAUUAUAUACAUGUACACACACAAAUGAGAUUAUACAAUCCAUAUUAUUCUUUAUCUUGCUUCUUUAAAGAUUUGUCAUAAAUAGCAAUCUACGUCAGUACAUACAGCUUCACCUUCCCCUAAGCUUUAUCCUACCUUUACCUAAACUUCCCCUAACAAACCUUUUCCCAGAGGCAUCAUCCUCAAAUGACAAUUUGACCUAAAAAUCAAGUUACCUCCUUAAGAAAAAGAUUCCUAAUCAUUUCUUGUGUAAAAAUUGGUACCUGAUAUUCAACAGACUAGCCACAUACAGGAUUAUCUUAAAGCAGCAAUAGGAAUUAUCAAAAUUUGUCACUGUUGAUGUUAUUUAUAUCCUCAUUAAAUUUAUAUUUAUAUUCAUUCAUCCCUACCACCUUUCCACUACUCCCCAAAUUACUACACUCAGAACCCAAUAUCUCUUCACAGAAAUCCUGUUAGUGUCCCACCCCUAUUUUUAUCCAAAUAAAUGUUUCCAUAUGAAAUAACUAUUUAAAACUUUUAAAGAGGAAAAAGAGAGGGAGUGUAGAAUAUAUAAAUCUCUCUUAUCCUGUUGAUUAAAUACUUAGCUCUCUCCCCCAAAACAAAUAGAGAAAAAAAAAUCCAAAAAAUUUUUUAAAAUAUUUAAUUUUUGCAGUUUUUUUCCCUUGGGGGUUAUAUUGGUCAAGGUAUUUGGUUGCAAUCAACAGAACCCACUCUCACUAUGUUAAGCAGAAAAUUGAUAUAUUAAAGUAUAUUAGGUAACUUACAAAAUUGUUAGGAAGGCUAGAAAAACAAUAGAGGCUAGUGGGCUAAAGUUAAAUCAUGCCAGAGAAGUAGCCUAGGGAGGAAACUUAUCACCAUCCUGGAUGUCACUUCCUUGUCAGGAGUUUAUUUUUGCAACCACUGAUGUCUUCAAAAGCGGGACACUUCAGAGUUCCCAUCAUGGCUCAGUGGUUAACGAACCUGACUAGCAUCCAUGAGGAUGUCGGUUUGAUCCCUGGCCUUGCUCAGUGGGUUAAGGGUCCAGUGUUGCUGUCAGCUGUGGUGUAGGUCUCAGAUGCGGUUUGGAUCCCGCGUUGCUGUGGUCCUGGCAUAGGCCAGCAGCUAUAGCUUGGAUUGGCCUGGAAACCUCCAUAUG